This 342-nucleotide unclassified non-coding RNA is filed under the name soil metagenome. RNAcentral describes it as "partial contains 5.8S ribosomal RNA, internal transcribed spacer 2, and large subunit ribosomal RNA". The stretch from base 1 to 120 matches the Rfam family "5.8S ribosomal RNA", at positions 35 to 154 of the family's 154-position model. The record is from RNAcentral.
GAUGAAGAACGCAGCGAAAUGCGAUAAGUAGUGUGAAUUGCAGAAUUCAGUGAAUCAUCGAAUCUUUGAACGCACAUUGCGCCCGCCAGCAUUCUGGCGGGCAUGCCUGUUCGAGCGUCAUUUCAACCCUCGAGCCCCCCCGGGGGCCUCGGUGUUGGGGGACGGCACACCAGCCGCCCCCGAAAUGCAGUGGCGACCUCGCCGCAGCCUCCCCUGCGUAGUAGCACACACCUCGCACCGGAGCGCGGAGACGGUCACGCCGUAAAACGCCCAACUUCUUAGAGUUGACCUCGGAUCAGGUAGGAAUACCCGCUGAACUUAAGCAUAUCAAUAAGCGGAGGA